GCAGAGACAGGAGUGAUGAAGCCAGAAGCCAAGGAAUGCCCAGGGCUGCAGCAGUGCCUGAAACUAAGAGAAAGAGAAAGGCAUGCAACAGACUCCCUUUCAGACUUCAGAGAGAGCAUGGCCCUGCCAACACCUUGAUUUCAGACUUCUGGCCUCCAGAAGAGUAAAAGAAUAAACUUACGUGCCAUCCAAGGGAGUCACUGUGGUGUCACCUGCCUCCUUGGCCCCCCCUUGCCAUCCAGCCUGGAGCUCACCCAGUGUCCCCUCUCUCCUCUGGGGGAGCCAUGAAGGUGACCAUGGGAAAUGACCUAAGAGGGCUGUGGCUGGAGCACUGAACCCCAGCUGACCAGAAGCAAUCAAUCAGACCCCAGCCACCAAUAAGAGACCAAUAUGCCAACCACAGCAGGGGGUCCAAGUCUGCUCUGGAAGAGGGUCAGGAGGGCCCAGAUGGGACAGAGGCCAACCCAAGUCCAUGUGGAUCUUCCCACAGGGCCCAGAGAUGGGAGCCAAGGCCACAUCUUCUCCAUGAGACCGCCAUUGGAUACACUCCUUCACGUCCUCCAAAAACACAAGCAGAUGGGCAGAUCCCCUUCUCUCCACUUCUCUCCCCAAUCCCUUCACCUAUGUUCCAAACCUCUUAUUACUCAGAAAGAGGAGAAAGAAUUAAACGUAUGCAUCAUUUGAUUUUAA
Long non-coding RNA from Symphalangus syndactylus (siamang), 690 nucleotides. RefSeq lists it as uncharacterized. NCBI's taxonomy places the organism in Eukaryota, Metazoa, Chordata, Mammalia, Primates, Hylobatidae. The record is from RefSeq and is a predicted model, not a curated record.